UACAGAGGUCCCAAGCGUUGUUCGGAUUCACUGGGCGUAAAGGGUGCGUAGGCGGUCGGGUAAGUCUGAUGUGAAAGCUCGGAGCUUAACUCCGAAAUGGCAUCGGAUACUAUUCGGCUCGAGGAAUGGAGGGGAGACUGGAAUGCUCGGUGUAGCAGUGAAAUGCGUAGAUAUCGAGCGGAACACCAGUGGCGAAGGCGAGUCUCUGGACAUUUCCUGACGCUGAGGCACGAAAGCCAGGGGAGCAAACGGG
Molecule: ribosomal RNA, 253 nt
Filed under: uncultured bacterium
Lineage: Bacteria
Description: partial 16S ribosomal RNA
Rfam family: Bacterial small subunit ribosomal RNA
Source: RNAcentral